AAAGCCCCGCAAGGGGCAAGUAGAGUGGCAAACGGGUGAGUAACACGUGGGUGACCUGCCUUCGAGCGGGGGAUAACGUCCCGAAAGGGACGCUAAUACCGCAUAACAUCCUGCCUUUGAAGAGGUGGAGAUCAAAGCUGGGGAUCGCAAGACCCGGCACUUGAAGAGGGGCCCGCGCCUGAUUAGCUAGUUGGUGGGGUAAUGGCCUACCAAGGCAACGAUCAGUAUCCGGCCUGAGAGGGCGGACGGACACACUGGGACUGAGACACGGCCCAGACUCCUACGGGAGGCAGCAGUGGGGAAUUGUUCGCAAUGGGCGCAAGCCUGACGACGCAACGCCGCGUGGAGGAUGAAGAUUUUCGGAUCGUAAACUCCUGUCGAAUGGGACGAAAAGAUUGCGGGUUAACAGCCCGUAGUCCUGACGGUACCGUUAAAGGAAACCCCGGCUAACUCCGUGCCAGCAGCCGCGGUAAUACGGGGGGGGUAAGCGUUGUUCGGAAUUACUGGGCGUAAAGGGCUCGUAGGCGGCCAACUAAGUCAUACGUGAAAUCCCUCAGCUUAACUGGGGAACUGCGUGUGAUACUGGAUGGCUUGGAUUUGGGAGAGGGAUGCGGAAUUCCAGGUGUAGCGGUGAAAUGCGUAGAUAUCUGGAGGAACACCGGUGGCGAAGGCGGCAUCCUGGACCAAUAUUGACGCUGAGGAGCGAAAGCCAGGGGAGCAAACGGGAUUAGAUACCCCGGUAGUCCUGGCCCUAAACGAUGAAUGCUUGGUGUAGCGGGUAUCGA
RNAcentral lists this ribosomal RNA (785 nucleotides) under uncultured Pseudomonadota bacterium. RNAcentral's name for it is "bacterial SSU rRNA". It matches the Rfam family "Bacterial small subunit ribosomal RNA", at positions 71 to 835 of the family's 1533-position model. The record is from RNAcentral. Lineage: Bacteria; Pseudomonadati; Pseudomonadota.